ACAUUACAUCACGCAACUCUCUCUCCCUCUCUCUCUCUCUCUCUCUCUCUCUCUCUCUCUCACACACACACACAUACAAAGUGUAUCUUUGCUCCGUCCUUUCCUUUCUCUUCCCUUGAUUCGUACGCAUACUUUCUAUCUUCUUUCAUCUUCUUCUUCUUAUUCAUCCUCGUAGUAGAUCUCCCUAAUCUCUAUCUCCAAAAACCCAAAUCAAACACCAACAAAUCAGAUGGCAAUGCAGGAAACAACUCCUGCUCCAAGUGCCGAAGUUGUUGGCAAUGCCUUUGUGGAGCAGUAUUACCACAUUUUACACCAAUCCCCUGGACUAGUUCAUAAAUUUUAUCAGGAUUCAAGUUUGCUAAGCCGGCCAGAUGCUGAUGGCACUAUGACAACAGUGACAACCAUGCAAGCAAUCAAUGACAAGAUUCUUUCCUUGAAUUAUGAAGACUACACAGCUGAGAUAAAAAAUGCAGAUGCACAGGAGUCUUAUGAGAAAGGGGUGAUUGUUCUUGUUACUGGUUGCUUAACUGGAAAGGACAAUGUGAAGAAGAAAUUCUCUCAAACAUUUUUCCUUGCUCCUCAAGACAAAGGCUACUUUGUGUUGAAUGAUGUAUUUAGGUUUGUUGGGGAGAAUGAAUCAUUGCCGAAUGAUUCUUUCUUGAUUAACGGUGUCAAUGAAAAUGCUGUGCCUAUAACCUCGACAACACAAUCAGGUUGGGGUGAUAUUUCAGAAGCAGAUCCCACACAGGAUACUGAUUAUCUUGCAGUGGACCCUGCUACCUCCUUGGAGGAGGAAGAUCUUAAUAAUGGCGCCGAAGUUUUUGAUCCUUCUGAUAAGGAGGAAGGCUCAGUGAUCAAAGAAGAGGUUGUUGAACACCAAACUGGUUCAACUGAUGGUGAAAUUCUCAUAAGUGUUGAUGCAUCUCCUGCAGCUCUGGAAUAUGCUCCAAAGAAAUCAUAUGCUUCAAUUGUGAAAGUAACGAAAGGUACAGUGCUUAGUUCAGUGUAUGUUGCCACUAAUUCACAGGUGGCACCUGCAAACUCUGAAAAACAAUCCCUUAACUCUGCAAAACCUGCUUAUGGCCCAGAGGUUGUUGCUCCUACUAGUGUUGGUGCUCCUGAAAGUAGUGAUGUUCAUGAAGAAGCUGAAGGUUAUUCCAUAUACAUACGGAAUUUACCUUUUAAUGCAACAGCUGUACAACUUGAUGAGGUGUUUAAAAAAUUUGGGCCAAUAAAGCGAGGUGGCAUCCAAGUUAGAAGUAAUAAGCAAGGAUUCUGUUUCGGCUUUGUUGAAUUUGAAACGUGGAAUUCCAUGCAAAGUGCACUUGAGGCUUCACCUAUCAAUAUUGGGGAUUGUCAGGCUACUGUUGAGGAAAAGAAAACCAACACCCGAGUUGGUAGCAGCGGGAGGGGGAGGUAUUCCUCAGGAAGAGGUGGUUUUAGGAGUGACAGUUUCAAGAACCGUGGGAACUUUGGCAGUAGCCGUGGUUAUGGCAGAAAUGAAUUCAGAAACCAGGGUGAAUUUUCACUGCGACCUAAGGGUUCAGCUGGGCGCAGUGGUGAUGAUUACCAGCGGACUAAUCCAAAUGGAAGCAGAAGGGGAGGGCGCCAGGGUGGGGUGAGAGCAAGAUCAGAAGUCCAGACAUGAAAGCACAAAGGGGAACAACCGAAACAGUAGCAAGACUGGCUUUUUAGCAUGUUUGCUCGCUUUCUCCUUAUUCUGCCAACAAUCAGUCAUAUUUAGCAAAUUCUCUGGCGUGUGUAUUGCAAUGUUUGUUCUAGCAAAAGCACGACAAUUUCUUGUAAGUUGACCAGCACCUUCAGGUUAGAACCCAUCUUUCUUUCUUGCAUUUGCUGAUGAGUUAGGCAAGAAAAAGCAAGGGUCAACACUCCCAAGCAGUUACUUUGAAAGAGGCAAGACAAUAAUUGGACCUCCACCUGAAAUCCAUAGUUGAAUGGCCCACGUGUCUCCAAUCUGUGAAUCCAUUCACUCUUUCCUGCUGUGAUAUAUAGGCUCCAUUGGCCAAUAUAUGUCAAUUAUAACUGAGCAAAACGACAAACAGUAAUUUUCUUGACCAAUGGUGACUAAGUGGCUUUCUGGUUUUGACUUGUACCAAUCUUAUAAAUAGCCAAAGCAACUAUUUCACAGAAAACGGCUAAGUCCGCUAGGAGUUAGUAGUGAGGCAUUGGCUGGAAAACGCGCUAGAGGUGAAUUGAAGGCUCUAGAUCUCCAAAUAGAAUCAUCCAGUGGAAGGGUCUGUUUCCCAGUUCCAAAUUACCAUUAGGUUAACUGGUGAUUCAAAUAAGACUGUUGGACUUACUUCACCUUGCUCAGUCGAGGACCUAGAUUCACUUGUAGCCCUGCAAAGCUUGUACCUUUCUCCAAGUAUUUCAGUUUCACUCAUGAUGGAUGCCCCAAAACUUGGGCCAUAUGUAAAUUUUUGUGCCUCACUGGUUCUGUUUCUUUGUUCAGUUCCAGAUUAUGAUAUCUCUGUUGUUGAUUUUAGCAUGAAGAAUGCCACUUAUGCUUUUUUA
This is an RNA transcript of Hevea brasiliensis (rubber tree), 2535 nucleotides long. It is a transcript of the gene named nuclear transport factor 2, with no coding region annotated. NCBI's taxonomy places the organism in Eukaryota, Viridiplantae, Streptophyta, Magnoliopsida, Malpighiales, Euphorbiaceae. The transcript has 11 exons. The record is from RefSeq and is a predicted model, not a curated record.